UCCAGACAGCUCAGGCCUGUGGGGUGGGCCUGCACACAAGAUCCCGCACCUCCCGGCUGGAGGACUUCAGGACCAUGCCCUGGGGUGCCUGCGGGGCUGCUGCCACUGCAGGCGGACACGGCUGCCUUCAGGCGCCUUCCUGCCCCCGCCCCGCCCGUUGCCGGGCUGUCAUCGCUGGCUCCCUGGGCGCCACGCGGCCUCUGCUCACGUCUCUGUCGUGACGCGCACAGCCGCCGCCUCAACCCUGCUGAUCCACACCACUGCUGCUUCUCAACACGCGACGCGACGAGCCUGCUCGUUCUUCAGAGCAACUUCCGAGGCCGUGGCUUUCCCAGGCUCUGUACUGCCCGCGAGUCCGGCGGCGCGUGGCUGCUAGGCUGCUCUCCGGGGUUCCCACCUGCAGACAGGAAACCGAGGGGACCCACUAGGCGUGCCUCCCGGUGCUGGAGCGGCCAGACCGAGGCCCCUCCCCUGGUCAAGCCUCCUUACCUUGGGUGGAGACCUCAGGACAGGAGCGGGGUUCCGGAAGGCAAAGACAAGCCUCCUCAGCCUCAUCCCCCGAACACUCCACGCAGUUUCUGGGGGUCAAGCCAGCGGGGGUCAUCGAGGGUGGGGAAGGACAUGCCGCCGCCGCUCAAAGGUGGACAGACUGGACCUGCUGCGACCUGCAGCCGUCUGACUUGCGGCAAGUCCACGGUCACCCUGGCCCCACUCCAGUGGAGAAGCCGCAGCAUACGAGGAGGUGUGGGCAAAAAUCUAGUAGCAGCCACAAGUUCAAGAUCACUCUUAAGAAAACAAAACAACACACCCAACUUGGAUUUAAAAACCAACCAGAUACACACUGAGAAGACAGCCCUCACCUGCCCUGUGGGAGGGACCAUAGGGCGUGAGGGCUGGGUCUGCCGAGCUCAGGGGAGCCAUCCUGCCAGCAGGGUGUCACCAGCUGCUUCCUGCCUCCCGUUCUGUCCAGGGUGGCUUUCACUGUCGGGGCCUCGAACACCCCCAAAAGCACCCCCACAACUGAUUCCAGCAGGCUGCACACACUCUGCCCGACACACCCCUAACCUGCCGCCCAGGUGCCCCGUCAGCUAA
This 1092-nucleotide long non-coding RNA is filed under the name Bos indicus x Bos taurus (hybrid cattle). RNAcentral's name for it is "lncRNA (ENSBIXG00005029623.1)". The record is from RNAcentral. Lineage: Eukaryota; Metazoa; Chordata; Mammalia; Artiodactyla; Bovidae.